UGUUUUAUCCCAGUUUGCGUACUGAAGAGGAAGAGAGGCCUCUUGGCUCUACAGAGGGCAAGGAACCAAGGAUACUGAACCGGGGGCCCUCUCGCACCCCUGGAAAGCUGAGACCCUGGGGUAGUGCAGAGAGCAUCCAUCUAGCAUCCAGGAUGCCCUGCCUGAGGCCCAGCUACACUACUUCCUGGCUAAAGCCUUUCCCUCUCUGGGCCAGGCUUGCGGAUCUAUAAAGUGAGACCCUCAGAAUCAGGCCCACGACAAAGAUGAUGAGCACCGUGGUUUUCUCUCCAAGAGGAAUAUCUUGUUGAAAGGACUGUAGGGAUGGAUUGUGGAGGCAGGAACGUGUGGAGCUGCAGAGCCUCCUGAGUGGUCCAGCAGGUGUCCUCCUCUCCUGCUGUGACCCUCUGAUGCUCCAGAUACCGGGCUGUGGGUAUGAGGUAUUUGCUUCGCAUCUGCCCUGUGCCAAACCAUGAGGAUGCUGGGGAUGAAGGAACUGGACAACGUUCUCCCAACUCGAUGAUGGGGACAGAAGUGCUGCGGGUAGAAAAGAAGACCUCUCUUGAACUAACUCAGCCACAUCUGUUUGCAUCGUUCACACACACUUCCUUUUCCCAUUUAAGUGCUUAAAUGAUUUAAAGUGGUAUAAAUAGAAUCCUUGAAAGUCUUCCCCUCCCCGUUUCUUCCUAAACAGCUCCUACACAGCCUUCAGGGCCUCGUUCAAGGGUUGCCCACUGAAGUACUUACGCCUGCCGCUUCCUCCCAUCCAAGAGGUAGAGCAUCUCCUCGGUCAGCCCACGGUACAUCACACAAGUGUUCGGUGGAGCACAAUAGUCAUUGUUUUCAUUUGCCUCUGAGCCCUUUGGGAGGAGCAAGGACAUGGCUUCCUCAUCAUCAUUGAAUCCCAAGCCUGGGGUACUUACUGGCCCCAGUAAUGUUUGUUCCAUGAAUAUUUUUUCUUAUUGAGGUCUGACAGGAGAAAGGGCUAAGAAAAGGAACUGAUACCCAUCAAGCCUGCAGCACCUUCAGUUAUAGGCCCAAUGCCUGGCCAGGUUAGCAUAAAUCUCCACAUUAAAGACCUUUUUACUUCAGUUCCUGAAGUCUAUACCACAUGCCAGGCUUUCAACGAAAAAUUACAAGGUCUGCCAGAAAGCAAGAAAACACUGAAGCAAGAAAAGUCUGAAGAGACAAAGCAAACAUCACAACCAGACUCAGACAUGACACAGAUGUUAGAAUUAUCAGGCAGAGAAUUUAAAAUAACUAUAAUUAAUAUGUUAAGAACUCUGUGGAAAUGGAGACCACAUGCAAGACAGAUGGGUAAAGUAAGCAGAGGUGGAAACUCUGAGAAUCAAAAAGAAAUGCUAGAAAUCUAAACACCAGAACAGAAAAGAACAAUGUCCUCCAUGGGCUGCUCGGUAGACUGGACACAGCUGAGGAAAGAAUCCAUGAGCUUGAAGACAGGGUGAUAAUAAGGGUUCAAACUGAAAUCAGAGAGAAAAACAAUGAAAGAAUAAUGAAAACGGAAUGAAAGCAUCCAAGAACUGUGGGGCUACAGCAAAUAGGUGUAACAUACACGUAACUGGAACACUAAAAAGAGGAGGACAGAGCAGAAGCAUCAGAAGUACUAACACCUGGCGAUGUCCCCCCAUUAAUGGCAGACAGAGAACUUCAGUUGCACGAAGCCUGGGGAAGCCCUGGCAGGAUAAACAGCCAACAGCAACAGCUGAAGGGGCUUGCAGAGACCAGGGCACGGGGCGCCCAGCAUUAGUGCCAGCCUCCCCAUUAUCUGUAUGAUACCUCAUGGCCGUGACUCACAGACCUUUCAGAUGGUUCCCCCUGAAUCACUAAGCCCAGACUCUGCAGUAGCGAGCCCGGUGGCUGGAAACCCUGCUGGUGGCGCUGCUUGCUGGAGGAAUGCUUCAGCUGUGCCAUCCGUGGCGGUGCCUGGUGGCACAGCAGAAACUCUGCUGGUUGGGAGUUUGGUCUGCGUGGCACAACUCGCUCAGGCACCAAAGGGGUUCACUGUACAGAUUUGGGGCAACUCAAGAAUCACCAGAAAGGGGAUUUCCCUGGUACUUCCAAUGCAGGGGGCAGGAGUUCAAUCACUGAUCAGGAAAUCAAGAUCCUAUAUGCCACCUGGCCCAGCACCGCCCUCCCCAAAAAAAAAGAAAGAAAGAAAGAAAAACUCACCAGGAAAGGAAGAUCAAGAAAUAGGCAGAAAAACCAAUACAAUACUGUAAAGUUAAAAAAUAAAAUAAAAUACAUUAAAAAAAAAAGAUUUGGAAAAAAACAGCCAAAAUUUUCUUGUAGUUAUCUCUGGGUAAUGCACUUGGAUGUAAGUUUAAUUUUUUUCUAAAGACAUCUGUAUAAUUUUCAAAUUUUCAAAAAUAAAUGCAGAAUACUUCUUAAAUCAAAAAAAAAAAAAAGAAAAGAAAGAAAAGAAAAGAAAUAGGCGGCAGCAAAGAGAAUUACAUGGCCAGAAAGGGAAAGUCUUAGUCACUUAGUUGUGCUCGACUCUUCGUGGUCCCACGGACUGUAGCCUGCCAGGCCCCUCUGUCCAUGGGAUUCUCCAGGCGAGAAUACUGGAGUGGGUUGCCAUUCCCUUCUCCAGGGGAUCUUUCUGACUCAGGGAUCAAACCUCGGUCUCCUGCAAUGCAGGCAGAUUCUUUUACCGUCUGAGCUACCAGGGGAAAACUGUAAUUCAAAUCUUCCUACCCACCCUAACCAGUGCAGAAGGACUCUGCCCCAUGGCCAUUCACAGCAGACACCCCCUCCCCAACUCCGCUUGCCUAAGAAUGCACAUGCCAAGGCCACUGUGGAAAGAAGGCUCUUGCGCUCCUGCCCAGGUGAGGAGGACGCAGGGAGGAUACCACUGUUUGCAAGCCCUGAAGGUGGCCCUCAUCAAACACCAAGUCUGCCUGCAGCUUGAUCCUGGACUUCUAGCCUCCAGAACCAGGAGAGAUGUAGCUAUCAUUUUCUUCAAGGCACCAAGACCAUUGCCAGCCCCACUUGCACCGCUCUAUGGGGGUCAACCUCUCCACUUCUGGCUCCACCAUCCACACUUAUUCAUAACUUCUUUGGCCAAAACCGAAUGUAACUGGCAGUAGAACAAAGACUCGGUUCAUCACCAGCUUGUCUCGUGAAGAUGAAGAACGGACAAAGGAUCUUUGUUAUUUACAUAUUAAAUCCAAGCACGCCCUCCACCCUUCAAAGCCUCCUCUCUCCUGAGUCUAGCCCUCAGUUUUAUUUCAUCUUCCCUGUUAGCGACUUGCCACGUCUGGGAGGGAUCCUCUGAUUUGCUCACUGUUCUUUGGCGAGUUCAGCCCAUUCCUGCAUCUGCAUUUUUUCCUGGCUGCUCAUUCUCCCCCUCCUUUCUCUUCCCCUACUAGCUACAGCCCUCCUGAAACAUGGCUCACCGGCAUAAAGACCUUCUCUCUGUCCAGUCACCACUCGCAUUGGGGAAGCCCAGGAAAGAGCUUGGGGACUGCUCUGCUCUCAAUGAGGGGCGCCAAGGGCGCAACAGGGGUGGGGUGCUGAGGACUCAGCUCCAGAGGGGCGGGUGCUGAGUGGCUGUGGAUGGAGAGGGUGGAUACCCAGAAGGCAGGUCUGGGAGAAAGGCUGCACCAUUUAUGCAAAUGGGGGCUGCUUUGCAUGAAGUACAUCACAUAUUGACCAAGCUGGGUAUGGGACAUCUGUUGAGGGUACUCUGUGCCUGGUGGGCUCACCCUCGAGAGCAGUCUGGGUCAAAGACUGGUGAGAAGAAGCAUGUUUGUGUAGAACUCUUGUGACUGGAAGGGAUGAGGUCUCCGGAAGAGCUUACAGAGGAGAGAGGAGACCAACAAAAGCACCACAUCCUCCUGACACAAAGACAAUAAGUAGGACACAGAACAGGAAACUUCCCUGGAGGACUCGCUCUUAAACUCACCGGAAGCCACUUCUCUCAUUUUCAAAAUGGAAAUAAUAGUGCCUGCCUGGCCUCCCGGCUGAGCUAUUCCACACACACACACCCUGAAGAAGGGUCAGGAAAUCCAUCUGCAAAGUUCUGGGGAGGCUAGGCAGCAUUAUUCACAAAGGACGCUUCCGUAUGCUUCCCUCGAAGACACAAUUCCCCUUACAACAUUUAUGGGUUGACUCAAUUACAGGAUUUCAUUUUGCACCCAAUUUCAGGAGGGACCACAGUUGUGUCGUGUCUGCCCUCCUGGCUCCUUGUCCUUGUCACUUUCCUGAAGCUGCCAGGGCCAGCUUGGUCCUCCACCUCCCUCAGACCCCUCUUGCCUGUGCUGCUUUAUCACCAUCCAUCACCCUUCAUCUCAAGGGACCUUCUUCCCUACCCAUCUCCCAUGAGAGCCUCAUUUCUAGUGCCUGCCUCUUGCUCUGAUCAGAUUCCUGGGCUCUGGCUCCUGGGCUCAGCCUCCCUGGCGAUUUCAUCCAUGCCAGGAGCCAUCAACCACUGCCUGUGUCCAGGGAGAGUCAGGCCAGUGAGUCCAGUCCUGACAUUCUUUAAUGCUCCCAUCUUCUGCUCAAACAAGUAACGCCCUGGAGGUGUUGCUCAGAAUAACUAAUAGUAUUCACUGCAUUUUCUUCCAAAGUGACUCUGCUUCAGAUCUCUGAGAAUGGUGCAAAGUAGUUUCAGCAGCCAGUCUCCAAAGCUCAAAACACCUCUGCCUUCCCCUCCCACCCUUGCAAACCCCACUGGGUGUAUAAGACCCCCUCCCUCCCUCAAUCAUCUCUGGCUGG
This is a long non-coding RNA of Bubalus bubalis (water buffalo), 4734 nucleotides long. RefSeq lists it as uncharacterized. Lineage: Eukaryota; Metazoa; Chordata; Mammalia; Artiodactyla; Bovidae. The transcript has 4 exons. The record is from RefSeq and is a predicted model, not a curated record.